RNAcentral lists this ribosomal RNA (270 nucleotides) under uncultured archaeon. Its description in RNAcentral is "partial 16S ribosomal RNA". It matches the Rfam family "Archaeal small subunit ribosomal RNA", at positions 477 to 747 of the family's 1478-position model. The record is from RNAcentral.
CUGCAGCUCAAGUGGUGAUCAUUAUUAUUGGGCCUAAAACGUCCGUAGCCUGUUUAGUAAAUGCCUGGGUAAAUCGUGUAGCUUAACUAUACGAAUUCCGGGUAGACUGCUAAACUUGAGACCGGGAGAGGCUAGAGGUACUCCUGGGGCAGAGGUGAAAUUCUGUAAUCCUAGGGGGACCACCAGUGGCGAAGGCGUCUAGCUAGAACGGGUCUGACGGUGAGGGACGAAGCCCUGGGGCACAAACCGGAUUAGAGACCCGAGUAGUCC